CUCGCUCAGGAGCUUCAUGCACAGGACACUGGGUGGGGACAAGGGUAGAAGCUGAAAACCAGUCAGGAGGCCGUUCUAAUAACCCAGGUUCUCGAGGCUGCUGCAGUCCUUGGCUCAUGGCCCCACAUCACUCCGACCUCUGCUUCCAUUGUCACAACUCCCCUUCUGUCUCUCUCUUAUAAGGACACUUGUGAUCACGUCGGGCACCAGGAUGACUAGGCUCCCCUCCGCAUCUUCAGAUCCUCAAUUUAAUCACAUCUGCAAAGUCCUUUUUGCCUGUCUCACAUGAGGAAGCUUCUCUGGUCACCUGAUCAGCAUUUAUCACAUCGUUUCCAUGAGAAAAAUGCAUUUCAAGUUCCUACGUUUCCGCUUGUCAACACAUCCAUUAGAAAAGAAGGGACUGCCAGUUGUAUGAAACCGUGGUGCAUUUGGUUGAAAUGGAAAAUUCAAAUCUGCCUUGGAGGCAUUUCAAAUUCUCCAUAUUUAUGCCAUGGGACAGUGAACUAAAACCUGAAUUCUCCUUCCACAUUUUCAGUUUGCAUUCACAGGUCUGGAGUUAGAAACAACCCGGUGUGGUGCCAAGCCUAGGUUUUAAUGUCUAGAGGGGAAACAACUGCGAACUUCUGAACAAGGUUAUCCUGGCUU
Molecule: long non-coding RNA, 645 nt
Organism: Equus caballus (horse)
Lineage: Eukaryota; Metazoa; Chordata; Mammalia; Perissodactyla; Equidae
Source: Ensembl